UGUGACCUCAAAUCAGGUAGGACUACCCGCUGAACUUAAGCAUAUCAAUAAGCGGAGGAAAAGAAACUAACAAGGAUUCCCCUAGUAACUGCGAGUGAAGCGGGAAAAGCUCAAAUUUAAAAUCUGGCAGCCUUUGGUUGUCCGAGUUGUAAUCUAGAGAAGUGUUAUCCGCGCUGGACCGUGUACAAGUCUCCUGGAAUGGAGCGUCAUAGAGGGUGAGAAUCCCGUCUUUGACACGGACUGCCAGGGCUUUGUGAUGCGCUCUCAAAGAGUCGAGUUGUUUGGGAAUGCAGCUCAAAAUGGGUGGUAAAUUCCAUCUAAAGCUAAAUAUUGGCGAGAGACCGAUAGCGAACAAGUACCGUGAGGGAAAGAUGAAAAGAACUUUGGAAAGAGAGUUAAACAGUACGUGAAAUUGCUGAAAGGGAAACGCUUGAAGUCAGUCGCGUUGUCCAGGGAUCAACCUUGCUUUUGCUUGGUGCACUUUCUGGUUGACGGGUCAGCAUCAAUUUUGACUAUUGGAAAAAGAUUAGGGGAAUGUGGCAUCUUUGGAUGUGUUAUAGCCCUUGGUUGCAUACAAUGGUUGGGAUUGAGGAACUCAGCACGCCGCAAGGC
RNAcentral lists this ribosomal RNA (612 nucleotides) under Cortinarius tenuifulvescens. RNAcentral's name for it is "eukaryotic LSU rRNA". It matches the Rfam family "Eukaryotic large subunit ribosomal RNA", at positions 1 to 611 of the family's 3401-position model. Lineage: Eukaryota; Fungi; Basidiomycota; Agaricomycetes; Agaricales; Cortinariaceae. The record is from RNAcentral.